This 654-nucleotide long non-coding RNA is filed under the name Struthio camelus australis. RNAcentral's name for it is "lncRNA (ENSSCUG00000008783.1)". The record is from RNAcentral. Lineage: Eukaryota; Metazoa; Chordata; Aves; Struthioniformes; Struthionidae.
CCCAGCUCUGCUGCAGGAGCGGCAAGUGGAAGCAAGAACGUGCUUGGGAUCUCGCUGUAAAAAACAGGGUCUAAAUCAGUUGCCGACCCUGUGCUGGCAUCGCAUGUGGUGUAGAAAUCCCCUCUCCGUGGCCUUGGACCUCAGCAGCUCCCUGCUGCAGCUCGUCACCCUGCCUCUGGCUAACGAACUCCCGCAAAACUCCACGUCCUCACCAAGAAACGAGCAAAUCCAGCCACAGCUCUUGUGCUGGGACCUUCCAGGUGGAGACGGUGCGUUGCUGAGCUCCCGCUGUCCUCUCCCAUCUCCCGCUGAAUGACUGAGCUUGUGAAUCAACAGACCAAAAACUCUCCAAAUGGCAUGGGAUGCCUCACUGCUUCUCACAUGGUUCUGCUGGAGCUGCAAGCUGGGCAGGCCAGGAGGAACCGGCAUGCCGGGCAAAUGCUGGCAGGUGUCACAUGCAGACCAGUGGAGCAUGUUGUCCUCUGCUUGCUGGCCGCCGCUGUGUCUCCCUUGUUCGUUUUGGUCCAACUAACCCCAGGCGGGAAGCCAGCUGCUUCAGCCAGGGGAAAUGCAGCUUCCAGUGCUUUAAUCCUGCUGGUGAGGCAGUUCUCCCCGGGGGCAGCCGAGUGUCCGUGUUGGCCAGCGGUUUCGUAG